This 309-nucleotide long non-coding RNA is filed under the name Coccomyxa subellipsoidea. RNAcentral's name for it is "long non-coding RNA (CSUB_LNC000780)". Lineage: Eukaryota; Viridiplantae; Chlorophyta; Trebouxiophyceae; Coccomyxaceae. The record is from RNAcentral.
CCUCCUGAAACACGUUUUGAAAGGUCUUGUGAUCUGAUUUCACUCAGAAGAAUACAAACUCGACCUCUAGCAACAAUAUAGGCACUCAGAUCGCGUGAGAAGAAGGGAUGAUCUGAAAGGCUAUCACAGUAAUAUGAACGUCCAAGCACAUCGUAAAGGCCAUUGUUGCAUCGCAGAUGCCGUAAAUAUCGCAACACGGCAUCAAUUGGGCCCGUCCUCACGGCGAGUCUUGAGAUAUAGUACUAUAAAGCAGCGGUGGCCAGCAACAGGACGAGGACUUGAUGUGGGGCAAGCUUUCAGAAGAUGUCG